Molecule: non-coding RNA, 139 nt
Filed under: Heterosigma akashiwo
Lineage: Eukaryota; Raphidophyceae; Chattonellales; Chattonellaceae
Source: RNAcentral
AAGAGAGCAAGGAAGAGGAGGGUGCGAAUCUUGUGAUGUUAUGUAUGUUUGUAUUUCCAUUCUUUCUUCUUUUCUUUUUAUUUUUCUGUUUUGUGCUGUUGGCAACAGGGAUGGAAGAAGGAGAAGAAGGAGAGAAUAG